Molecule: ribosomal RNA, 253 nt
Filed under: uncultured bacterium
Lineage: Bacteria
Description: partial 16S ribosomal RNA
Rfam family: Bacterial small subunit ribosomal RNA
Source: RNAcentral
UACAGAGGUCCCAAGCGUUGUUCGGAUUCACUGGGCGUAAAGGGUGCGUAGGUGGUCGGAUAAGUUUGAUGUGAAAUCUCCGGGCUUAACCCGGAAACUGCAUUGAAUACUAUCUGGCUGGAGGGUUGGAGGGGGGACUGGAAUUCUCGGUGUAGCAGUGAAAUGCGUAGAUAUCGAGAGGAACACCAGUGGCGAAGGCGAGUCCCUGGACAACUCCUGACACUGAGGCACGAAAGCGUGGGGAGCGAACAGG